Molecule: ribosomal RNA, 1193 nt
Filed under: Chiropterargas boueti
Lineage: Eukaryota; Metazoa; Arthropoda; Arachnida; Ixodida; Argasidae
Description: Argas boueti 16S ribosomal RNA
Rfam family: Archaeal large subunit ribosomal RNA (bases 778-1123)
Source: RNAcentral
UAAUAAUUAAAUUGUUUAUAAUAAAAUUAUUUUUUAGGAUUAAUGAAAUAUUAGUAUAACGAUAGAUAAUUUUACUGUGAAGUAUAUAUUUAAAUUAUUUAUGAUAAAGUAAUUAUAUGUACCUUUUGUAUUAGGGUUUAUCAAUAAAAUUAAUAUUUUUUAAUUUCCCGAUAGAUUAUGAGCUAUAAUUAACUUAUAUGAAUGUUGCAUAAUUUGAUAUGAGUUUUUAUAGUAGUGAGAUGCUAGACAUAUAAUUAGGUAUCUGGUUAGAUCAGAAUAAACUUUAUGUUUAGAAAUACACGUAAAACAUUUAAUUGUUUGUAUUUUUUUGAUAUAAAGGGAUAAGCUUUUAUAUAUAUAUUAUAUAUAGUAUAAUAUUAUGGAUAUAAGGUUUAAAAUUUACUAGGUUUUGUUAUAAAGAAAUUUAUGUUAUGAGUAUGUUAUAAAAUAAUUGAUUUAUAAAAUUAUUAUAUAAGUGUAAUAAUGAUUAAAUUAGUAUAAGAUUAUGUGGUUUUAAAAUUUAAAUAUAAAUUAAUAAGUAUUUUAAAUGUUAUGAAUUCGGCUAAUAUUAUUGCUGACUGUUUAACAAAAACAUUUUAUUUUGUGAUAAUAAAAUAUAAAAUCUGCUCAAUGAUUUAAAUUGCUGUAGUAUUUUGACUAUACAAAGGUAGUGAAAUAAGGUUUUAAUUGGAUGCUAAGUGAAGGAUUAAACAGUUAUAAGCUUUAUUACAUUUAUUAAUAGAAGUUAAUUUAAAAAUGAAAAAGUUUUUAUAGAUUAUUGGGACAAGAAGACCCUAUGAAUUUUUAUGUUAUAUGUUUAUAUAAUUUUAUAAUAAAAUUGUUAUUAAAGUUGUAAUAUUUGGUUGGGGUGACCCAUAAAGAUUAAUAAUCUUUAUGAGAUAUAUAUAUGGUUCCAUUAUUAAUGAUUAAUAGUGAAAAAUACUCUAGGGAUAACAGCGUUAUUACUUUGGAUAGUUCAUAUUGAUAAAGUAGUUUGCGACCUCGAUGUUGGAUUAAGAUUACGAUAUGAUGAAGAAGUCAUUUAUUGUAAGUUUGCUCAACUUUUAAUUUCUUACAUGAUCUGAGUUCAGACCGGCGUGAGUCAGGUUGGUUUCUAUCUAAUUAAGAAUUAAUUAUGUUAUAGUACGAAAGGAAUUGACAUUAUAAAAUUUUUUAUAAAUUUUCUAUAAUUU